This is a non-coding RNA of Engraulis encrasicolus (European anchovy), 3050 nucleotides long. NCBI's taxonomy places the organism in Eukaryota, Metazoa, Chordata, Actinopteri, Clupeiformes, Engraulidae. The record is from the annotation of a RefSeq genome assembly.
CCCAUGCAGUUGGAUGUGGAGUGGCUGAGGCUGAGGCGCCAUGGUGAUCGCAAUGAGUCUGUGAAGACAGACAUCUGCUCUGAGUCACCCAGCAGCAAUACCAACCACACCUUUAGCCUGAAGAGCCAGCUCAGCAUCCAGGGGAACCGGACCCUGAAUCAUGGGGCCACGUACAUCUGCCAGGUCAAGCACAGGGCCCUCAACGAGAGCCGGGCAGUCCGUGUGCAUGUACUUGAAACCCCUGUUGUAUUGAUAGCAUCAACAGUGGCCUUCAGUGUCUUGGCAGUGGGUCUGCUAACAGGAGCUGCUUGGAUUGUGUACCAAUACUUUCAUACAGUGCCACCCAGUGUGUCUGACAUCUGCAGUCCCUCCGUCAUCUAUGCAAACACCCGCGCGGAUCUGAAGUGCACCAUCCGCAGGGUGAAGCCCACACGUGUGGACGUGCAGUGGUACAGGGUGCUGUCUAGCCAUGGCACAGCGACACAUGGGUCACCACCACCAGGAGUGGCACUUGUUUCACAUGACGAGGGAGAGGCACUGUGUACAGAGAACCUAACCAAGCACGCUCAGCUGCACUCUGUCGACAACACCCAGCUGCUGUCCACGCUGCCCCUCUCGCCACAGGUCAGUGACGACGGUGGCAGGUACAGGUGUGUGGUGACCUACAAAGGACACACCUACAUCAAGGAGGCGACGCUGAGUGUUAAAACUCAGCCGUCCUUCCUGCAGAUCUCCAGUGUUCCUCAGGUGCCAGUGCUGGGCCAGAGGCUGGUGCUGUGCUGCCGCGUGGAGCGCUUCUACCCGGCCCAGGUGUGCCUGGAGUGGCUGGGCCCCGGUGGCGAGAUGCUGGGCCCGGUGGUGCAGUACGGCCCCUUUCCUGACUACCAGGGCCUGCAUAGCGUGUGGAGUACGUCCCAGCUGACCAUGACUGCCGUGGAGGACGGCCUGGUGUACAGGUGCAGGGUGUACCACUGCAGCUUCGCUGAGCCAGGAUACCGGGACCUUACCUACCAAGUGAACCUGAAAGGCACUCCCCCGGCAGUGAAGUUCAUUAAGUGUGAGCCCAGCCAGCCUCAGCUGGGGCAGGAGUUCACCCUGAGCCUCUGCGUGGAGAACUUCAGCCCGGACGCGCUCUCCGUGGCCUGGUUCAGGCAGCCGCAGGGGGAGCCCAUCCUCACCGGGGUCUUCACCUCUCCCCCCAGCCUCAACCCCAGCGGCCUGUUCACCCAGUGGGCCUUCCUCAGGCUCAAGCCCACCCCGCAGGACCUGGGCACAGUCUUCAUGUGCCGGGUGGGGCACAGCGCUUUAGCUGAGCCGGAGGAGAGGAGCUACACCUUAGCAGACUUAACUCUGGAGUGAAGUCAUGGCCGACCGUUAUGGACAAGCAGUUAGGGUGCUGCUGGGCUUGAACCCUGAGUGUUGAUGGUUAGCUUUCUCUGCCCCAGUGCACUGAACAUGGUACCGUGCCCCUACACUGGUCCCCAUUUGGGCCGCUCAUUGGGCUGCCCUUUUGCAUUGGAGAGGCAUAAAAGAAACUUAAUUGUGUGCACACUAUGUCCUGUUUGUAGCAUACUGUGUCACAGUAACAGUGCGGCUUGCCCAGGGGGACCUUCAAUUUCACAUCAAGAUUAACAACACCUGGACUUCAACCUGAUGUUACCAGACAGCAAAAGAAAUGUGAAAAAAGAAACAUCACUGUUGAACAUUUUCAGCUGACUCUAAAGACUGCAUUACUAGACUGGGGCCACAGACCAUACGCUUUUAAAAUGGAGCCAUUAUAAGCUUUGUUCAUAUUGCACUUUUGAUAUCUAGUAGGAGGCACUUGAAAUACUAUGAAAUAGAUGAAGUUAUAGUGUUGUAAUAGAGAAUGUAUAAUCAUAAAUGAUAUGAGGUUAAUAAACUGGGGCAUCCAUGGACUAAUGGUAAGAGAGUGUGUCCUAAGAUUCAAAAGUUGCAGGUUCGAGUCCUGUGGAGUUAGGAAGAAUGUAAGUGGUCUAUAUCCUAAUCCUCGGCUGAAAUGCCCUUGAGGAAGGCAGCUAACCCCAAAUUACUCGAGGGACUGUAGCCAACACCCGGAUAACUGUAAGUUGCCUUUGAUGAGACUGUCUGCAGGCACAGUCCAGGAUUAAACAUGUAAGCACACAGUGUAGUUGAGGACUCAUCCUAAAGGUAUUGAUGCAAAGGACAAUUUUUGAGCAAUGUUGCUGCAUGGGCAACAGCAGAAUUGGCUCCUAAUUGGCUGAUUGAACAAUUAAAAAACAGCUGUUUGCUGCCUAUUGAAGUUCUCUUGAUAAAAGUGUUACUAUAUACAUAGUGAUAAACAACCCAAGCAAGAUCCAUAUUGCAUCGUUGCCCAGGCACAUUGCUCAAACACUUGCCCUGUGCAUCAUUACCUUUAGAGCCACCAUGGGGAGCUUUUGGGCUUAUUCUAGGCCACGGUUAUGCCGAGCUGAUUAGAGGCGAGUUCAAAGGCCAAGUUGGUGGUGAGGUGUUGCAGCAAAGCCUUCAGAUCACACGCACAGGUCUCGGGGGCAGCUUAUCGAGCUGCUUCAUCUGUAAAGGGUGGGCUUGUGGAAUCCUGAAGGGAUGGAAGCACCGCUAACAAUUGCUACGUUAACAUGACGUUAUUAAUUCAGAAUUAAUAAUUCAGAAUUAAAUACUUCUGACGAGUUUACGUUGAUCUUUCAUUUAAUUCCGAAUUGUGAAGUGCUUAAAUGACGUUUUCAAAGCGGAAUUAACCUUUAUUCAGAAUUAAAGUGAGUUGAUUCGGAAUGAAGUGUCUCAUGUAAACGUAGUGAAUAAUAAUACAAAAGAGGUUUAGUCCUUAACAUGUUGUGCACUUGAAUUAAAAAGAAAAGCAUCCCAUCUGUGCUGCUCCGGUAUCUUCUCUUCGUUCAAGUGAAUAAUAAGAAUUGGCAAUUUGUUGGACAAUGUUAAAGGCAUUGGUGUUCACUAGUGAAAGACAUCCACACAGAAACUGUGCAGAGACAGCUUGGUGUAGUACUGAUUUUGUGUUAAUUUAUAAUAAUAUAUCACCAUGAUGUACUUGU